This 219-nucleotide ribosomal RNA is filed under the name uncultured bacterium. RNAcentral's name for it is "partial 16S ribosomal RNA". It matches the Rfam family "Bacterial small subunit ribosomal RNA", at positions 104 to 334 of the family's 1533-position model. The record is from RNAcentral.
CGGGGUGAGUAACGCGUAGGAACCUAUCGCACAGUGGGGGAUAACACUGGGAAACCGGUGCUAAUACCGCAUGUGGUCAGCGAUGAAGAAAGCAGCAAUGCGCUGUGUGAGGGGCCUGCGUCCGAUUAGCUGGUUGGUGGGGUAACGGCCUACCAAGGCGACGAUCGGUAGCUGGUCUGAGAGGAUGGUCAGCCACACUGGGACUGAGACACGGCCCAG